UAGAGAUCACUAAUUAAAUUAUUUUGGAAAGAAUUUCUAAGUACACUAUGGAUCCACCCCCCUGGACAGAAUUGGAUCCCCCAGAAACUUUCAGAAUACAAGAAAGAGAAGAGCAGCGAGCGGUUCCCUCAGGAGGUGAAGGUUCUCUGAGGGUGGAACCCUGAUUAAGUGCCUGCCUUUCUAGCUGCGGAUAUGAGUCAAGAAAUGAUUCCUGGUUUUCCUUUUGAAGGAGGUUUUGAGGUUUACUCAAAGUGAAGGAUCUUCCAUUCCCCGCCCCGGGACUCCUUCUCGGUUCCUGCUCAGAGUUCUGCUUCUCGCCUCCUCCAGGCCCGCGAUCCUGACCAUCGGAGGCCCAGUGAAACCGCUGGGGUUGCUGACAUGGCCACAGGGCCACCCUGCGUGCUUCCUCCGACGCUCUUGCCGGGAAUCCACACCGAGGCCUGGAGCACCCUGGCUUCCCUGGGGGGUAGAGGGGAGCCCAGAGGGCUGAGAGUCCGAGCAAAGCUUUGGGAAAGACCAGAAUUCAGCACCAUAUGUGACAGCGGAGAGAAAGUGGGCCGGGUUGGAUUCGGGGUGGGGAGCUUCCCGGGCCGGCAGAGGGAGGAGAGCGGGUAGGAGCGCCCUGAAUGGGGUGUGGUGUGCCUUGACCUCUGGAUCAGGGCUGGCGUCACGUUCAUGUGGCCUCUGCGGUCACACAAGGCCUUGCUCUGCUUUUUGUGCUCUGCUGUCAUUGUUUUGAAAUUAAUAACGUUUGAACAAUGA
This is a long non-coding RNA of Otolemur garnettii (small-eared galago), 762 nucleotides long. RefSeq lists it as uncharacterized. The record is from RefSeq and is a predicted model, not a curated record. NCBI's taxonomy places the organism in Eukaryota, Metazoa, Chordata, Mammalia, Primates, Galagidae. The transcript is spliced from 2 exons.